UUCAGCCCGGCCCCGGCUCAUUGUGCUCGCCUCACGCCGGCCCGAGUUGGCGGCAGCGCUGGAGGUCCCGGGCCUGUGACCACAAAGAGGGAGCCGGGGGCCAGACGGGAGCGCGGCGGCGGCCCCGGCUGAGGCCCAGGCCAGGCCCCCUCCCCUCAGCCGCCAGCCCGCCCGCCUGACCCGCCCCCGCCGGCGGGCGUCCCGCCCCUCCCCCAACCGCCAGACUAGCCUGGUGCGGGGGCCGCGCGCGAAGACGUGGGGGAGAAGUUGGAGCUGAAGCUGGAGUCGUCCGUGGGGGCCGAGCCCGCCGUCUACGCGUGGCCGCUGCCGGUCUACGCUCAAAGAUUUGGAAAGAGAUAGUUAACAGAAAAGGAAUGCAUGAAGGAGAAAUGGAAUCUCUUGCAUGAAUUUCUGCAGACAGAAAUAAAGAAUCAGUUAUGUGACUUGAAAACCAACCUACCUAAAGAAGAAUUAUCAGAGGAGGGCUACCUGGCUCAAGUCAGAUCCCUUUUAAAUAAAGAUUUGUCCUUGGAGAACAGAGCUCACGCUUUCAGUCGGGAAGUGAACGGCUGUCUAGAAAACGGGAGCCAGACAAGUGGUGAGGAGCGCAGAGUGGAAAUAGCAGAGAAAAAGAAGUCCCCCAAACCUGUUUCCAAACUUUGCAUGCCCAGGAGAAGCAAGUCCGAUGGAGAAACCAACUCCCUGCCAAACGGAAACCUGAGGAAGACCCUGAAAAAGCAAAAUCAGAUGAUUCUGUCGAUGAAGAAGAAAAAGACCAG
Eubalaena glacialis (North Atlantic right whale) is the source of this 779-nucleotide long non-coding RNA. RefSeq lists it as uncharacterized. The transcript is spliced from 5 exons. The record is from RefSeq and is a predicted model, not a curated record. NCBI's taxonomy places the organism in Eukaryota, Metazoa, Chordata, Mammalia, Artiodactyla, Balaenidae.